CCGAUAUAGCUCAAUUGGUAGAGCAACUGAUUUGUAAUCAGUAGGUUUUCGGUUCGAGUCCGAAUAU
Molecule: transfer RNA, 67 nt
Filed under: uncultured Oribacterium sp.
Lineage: Bacteria; Bacillati; Bacillota; Clostridia; Lachnospirales; Lachnospiraceae
Rfam family: tRNA
About the family: Transfer RNA (tRNA) molecules are approximately 80 nucleotides in length. Their secondary structure includes four short double-helical elements and three loops (D, anti-codon, and T loops).
Source: RNAcentral